RNAcentral lists this ribosomal RNA (461 nucleotides) under uncultured bacterium. Its description in RNAcentral is "partial 16S ribosomal RNA". It matches the Rfam family "Bacterial small subunit ribosomal RNA", at positions 338 to 795 of the family's 1533-position model. The record is from RNAcentral.
CCUACGGGGGGCAGCAGUGAGGAAUAUUGGUCAAUGGGCGAGAGCCUGAACCAGCCAAGUCGCGUGAAGGAUGACGGCCCUACGGGUUGUAAACUUCUUUUGUCAGGGAGCAAUUGGGUCCACGCGUGGGCUUAGCGAGAGUACCUGAAGAAAAAGCAUCGGCUAACUCCGUGCCAGCAGCCGCGGUAAUACGGAGGAUGCGAGCGUUAUCCGGAUUUAUUGGGUUUAAAGGGUGCGUAGGCGGUCGGAUAAGUUAGAGGUGAAAUCCCGAGGCUCAACUUCGGAAUUGCCUCUGAUACUGUUCGGCUAGAGAGUAGUUGCGGUAGGCGGAAUGUAUGGUGUAGCGGUGAAAUGCAUAGAUAUCACGCAGAACUCCGAUUGCGAAGGCAGCAUACCGGCGCCCGACUGACGCUGAGGCACGAAAGCGUGGGGAUCGAACAGGAUUAGAUACCCCUGUAGUC